UACGAAGGGGGCUAGCGUUGCUCGGAAUCACUGGGCGUAAAGGGCGCGUAGGCGGCCAUUCAAGUCGGAGGUGAAAGCCCAGGGCUCAACCCUGGAAUUGCCCUCGAUACUGUUUGGCUAGAGACCGGAAGAGGUAGGUGGAACUGCGAGUGUAGAGGUGAAAUUCGUAGAUAUUCGCAAGAACACCAGUGGCGAAGGCGGCUUACUGGUCCGGUUCUGACGCUGAGGCGCGAAAGCGUGGGGAGCAAACAGG
RNAcentral lists this ribosomal RNA (253 nucleotides) under uncultured bacterium. RNAcentral describes it as "partial 16S ribosomal RNA". It matches the Rfam family "Bacterial small subunit ribosomal RNA", at positions 524 to 776 of the family's 1533-position model. The record is from RNAcentral.